Molecule: long non-coding RNA, 208 nt
Filed under: Phoenix dactylifera (date palm)
Lineage: Eukaryota; Viridiplantae; Streptophyta; Magnoliopsida; Arecales; Arecaceae
Description: long non-coding RNA (PDAC_LNC015875)
Source: RNAcentral
AUUUACAUGAUUAGUGUGGUGUCUUAUCCUGCAUAUGCAUGUGACAGUAGGGAGUUGUUGCUGGUUCGCCUGGGGCGUAAAACCCACCUUCCGACAGCUGUCUAGCAUUUACAUUAUCGAUAUGGUGUCUUAUCCUGCAUAUGCAUGUGACAGUAGGGAGUUGUUGCUGGUUCGCCUGGGGCGUAAAACCCACCUCUUGACAGCUGUC